Molecule: long non-coding RNA, 571 nt
Organism: Venturia canescens
Lineage: Eukaryota; Metazoa; Arthropoda; Insecta; Hymenoptera; Ichneumonidae
Exons: 2
Source: RefSeq, a predicted model, not a curated record
AGUAGUACUAUCACAGUUCGAAUAAUGACACCUUCGAAGCAACACUUCUUCAAAAUCCGACCAGUAAUCACUUAUAAAAAGAAUGAAUUCAAACGAUUCAUUUUUCGUAAAUAUUAGUAAUAUUAAAGGAACGCGACGUUUUUCAUCAGCAGUUUGUAAACUUCGAAGAAAUAUCACAAGAACGUAAAUGAGCUUUACACAUUUCUCGUGAGGGAAAAUCUGAAAGCCAUGAAAUAUUUUUACCCGAGCUUGUUAGCCGCAUACUUUGUUAUUUUAUCUCACGUAUGUGGGACGGUUUUCAGCCUGACGAAAAGCAACGAGAAAUGCGAUAUAUGAAGGAGCUUCGCUGGUGAGUUUGAAUAUAAGUUUAAAGGCAUGUUUUGAUAAGCGUUCGGAGGCUAUAUUAUGCUCUGUCAGCGCAGCAAGUUUUCUACCUAAUGGAUCGUUUGCUCGUUCUCUGGUGCUCCCUCAUCGGAAACACUUAUUUCAGGAAGAAGGUGCUUUUAUGAUAGUUGAAAUCUUGUUUACAGUCCUUGAUGUCAUUCGAGAGUGAAUAAAAUGUGAAAACUUU